Molecule: non-coding RNA, 127 nt
Filed under: Candidatus Saccharimonadota
Lineage: Bacteria
Source: RNAcentral
AUGUAUUCAUACAUCAGGUGUGCUUAAUUUGAAUAUAUAAGUUAAGCCAAGAGGGAACCCUGUGAGAAUCAGGGGUGGUCCCGCCGCUGUAUCUGGGGACGAAAGCCGCAAAUAAAACCACUGGGAU